Molecule: transfer RNA, 61 nt
Filed under: Scutopus robustus
Lineage: Eukaryota; Metazoa; Mollusca; Caudofoveata; Limifossorida; Scutopodidae
Description: tRNA-Thr
Rfam family: tRNA
About the family: Transfer RNA (tRNA) molecules are approximately 80 nucleotides in length. Their secondary structure includes four short double-helical elements and three loops (D, anti-codon, and T loops). Further hydrogen bonds mediate the characteristic L-shaped molecular structure. tRNAs have two regions of fundamental functional importance: the anti-codon, which is responsible for specific mRNA codon recognition, and the 3' end, to which the tRNAs corresponding amino acid is attached (by aminoacyl-tRNA synthetases). tRNAs cope with the degeneracy of the genetic code in two manners: having more than one tRNA (with a specific anti-codon) for a particular amino acid; and 'wobble' base-pairing, i.e. permitting non-standard base-pairing at the 3rd anti-codon position.
Source: RNAcentral
GGUAAAAUAGUUUAAAAAACAGUGGUUUUGUAAGCCAAAAAUAGAAUUAUUCUUUUUACCU